RNAcentral lists this ribosomal RNA (538 nucleotides) under uncultured Glomus. RNAcentral's name for it is "LSU rRNA". It matches the Rfam family "Eukaryotic large subunit ribosomal RNA", at positions 224 to 631 of the family's 3401-position model. The record is from RNAcentral. Lineage: Eukaryota; Fungi; Glomeromycota; Glomeromycetes; Glomerales; Glomeraceae.
UCCGGUUGAUCAGAUUCGCUUUACGAUACGCUUUCUAAGAGUCAAGUUGUUUGGGAUUGCAGCUUAAAAUGGGAGGUAAAUUUCUCCUAAGGCUAAAUAACGGCGAGAGACCGAUAGCGAACAAGUACCGUGAGGGAAAGAUGAAAAGAACUUUGAAAAGAGAGUUAAACAGUACGUGAAAUUGUUGAAAGGGAAACGAUUGAAGCCAGUCGUACCUAUGGGUAAUCAGCCUUUUGGGUGUGAUUUUGUGGAGCGUGAGGAGUUAAACACCUUCAUGCCUGCAUAUUCGUGCACUUUGGGUGUACUUGCCCGUAUGGUUGGUUAACAUCAAUUUUGGUGGUCAUAAAAUGACUGGAGGAAUGUAGCUUCGAUCUUGUAUUGAAGUGUUAUAGCCUUCGGUAGAUGUGAUGAUCGAGAUUGAGGAUUGCAACGGAUACCCUUCGGGGCUACCUGUCUGAUCUCUGAUCGUUGCUCUGGUGCCGAAAGCUUGCUUACGGUUAUCAAAGUUGAUGGUCAAUAGGUUAGAAUGGGUUAAAUU